GACGAACGCUGGCGGCGUGCUUAACACAUGCAAGUCGAACGGUGAACGAGGGAGCUUGCUCCCUACGGAACAGUGGCGAACGGGUGAGGAACACGUGAGCAAUCUGCCCCGAACUCGGGGAUAAGCGUUGGAAACGACGUCUAGUGCCGGAUACGACGCGGGAGGGCAUCCUCUCCGCGUGGAAAGAAAGUAGGCUGGGGAUGGGCGCGGGGCCUAUCAGCUUGUUGGUGCGGUAACGGCCCGCCAAGGCGACGAAGGGUAGCCGGCCCUAGAGGGGGACCGGCCACCCUGGGACUGGGGCCAGGGCCCGACCCCCCCGGGAGGCCGCAGUGGGGAAUAUUGCACAAUGGGCGCAAGCCUGAUGCAGCCACGCCGCGUGGGGGAAGACGGCCUUCGGGUUGUAAUCCUCUUUUAGCAGGGAAGAAGCGAAAGUGACGGUACCUGCAGAAAAAGCACCGGCUAACUACGUG
Molecule: ribosomal RNA, 470 nt
Filed under: uncultured bacterium
Lineage: Bacteria
Description: partial 16S ribosomal RNA
Rfam family: Bacterial small subunit ribosomal RNA
Source: RNAcentral